AGCGAACGCUGGCGGCAGGCCUAACACAUGCAAGUCGAACGGCAGCACAGUAAGAGUUUGCUCUUAUGGGUGGCGAGUGGCGGACGGGUGAGGAAUAUAUCGGAAUCUACUCUUUCGUGGGGGAUAACGUAGGGAAACUUACGCCAAUACCGCAUACGACCUACGGGUGAAAGCAGGGGAUCUUUGGACCUUGUGCGAUUGAAUGAGCCGAUGUUGGAUUAGCUAGUUGGCGGGGUAAAGGCCAAGCAAGGCGACGAUCCGUAGCUGGUCUGAGAGGAUGGUCAGCCACACUGGAGCUGGGACACGCUCCAGACUCCUACGGGAGGCAGCAGUGGCGAAUGUUAGACAAUGGGCGCAAGCCUUGUCCAGCCGUACCGCGUGUGUGAAGGAGGCCUUCGGGUUGUGAAGCCCUUUUGUUGGGAGAGAAAAGCAGCAGGUUAAUACCCCGCGGUUCUGACGGUACCCAGUGAAUAAGCACCGGCUAACUUCGUG
Molecule: ribosomal RNA, 492 nt
Filed under: uncultured bacterium
Lineage: Bacteria
Description: partial 16S ribosomal RNA
Rfam family: Bacterial small subunit ribosomal RNA
Source: RNAcentral